UACGUAGGCAGCGAGCGUUGUUCGGAGUUACUGGGCGUAAAGGGCUCGUAGGCGGCCAACUAAGUCAUACGUGAAAUCCCUCGGCUUAACCGGGGAACUGCGUCUGAUACUGGAUGGCUUGAGUUCGGGAGAGGGAUGCGGAAUUCCAGGUGUAGCGGUGAAAUGCGUAGAUAUCUGGAGGAACACCGGUGGCGAAGGCGGCAUCCUGGACCGAUACUGACGCUGAGGAGCGAAAGCCAGGGGAGCAAACGGG
This 253-nucleotide ribosomal RNA is filed under the name uncultured bacterium. RNAcentral's name for it is "partial 16S ribosomal RNA". It matches the Rfam family "Bacterial small subunit ribosomal RNA", at positions 524 to 776 of the family's 1533-position model. The record is from RNAcentral.